AAACUAUGCAGCUGUCUUUAAAAGAGACAUGAAGCCUCAACCACCAGAAAUAAAUAACAAGUAAGAAUGAUUCAGUUGACUUUUCCAGCUUCAAAUAAUGCAUUCAAAAAUUAAAUAUGCAUAAAACAUAAGACGAAGAAGCUGGAUCUCAAUCUGGAUGGGAAGAUGGAAGCUUUUCUCUAUACAAUUUAGAAGCAACACAAAGAUUGGUCUGCAACAAAAGCAAUGGAAGGCUUACUUCGCAGGAGAGAUGGUACCGACGCUUGUUCCUAAUCCGAGUUCCAGUGUCGGCAUCAUAUCUUCUACGGAGCAAGCCGAAGAUUUGAAUAUACAAUGCGAAGAAUGGCUCCCCAAGUUCAUGUACCUUCUCCUUUAGAGUUUAGGACUUGGAUUAGUGUCGAUAUCCAAAUUCCUUUUGAAGUAUCAGC
Cucurbita maxima (winter squash) is the source of this 428-nucleotide long non-coding RNA. RefSeq lists it as uncharacterized. The transcript has 2 exons. Lineage: Eukaryota; Viridiplantae; Streptophyta; Magnoliopsida; Cucurbitales; Cucurbitaceae. The record is from RefSeq and is a predicted model, not a curated record.